RNAcentral lists this ribosomal RNA (547 nucleotides) under uncultured bacterium. RNAcentral describes it as "partial 16S ribosomal RNA". It matches the Rfam family "Bacterial small subunit ribosomal RNA", at positions 355 to 895 of the family's 1533-position model. The record is from RNAcentral.
UGGGGAAUUUUGGACAAUGGGCGAAAGCCUGAUCCAGCAAUGCCGCGUGUGUGAAGAAGGCCUUCGGGUUGUAAAGCACUUUUGUCCGGAAAGAAAUCCUUGGCUCUAAUACAGUCGGGGAUGACGGUACCGGAAGAAUAAGCACCGGCUAACUACGUGCCAGCAGCCGCGGUAAUACGUAGGGUGCAAGCGUUAAUCGGAAUUACUGGGCGUAAAGCGUGCGCAGGCGGUUUGCUAAGACCGAUGUGAAAUCCCCGGGCUCAACCUGGGAACUGCAUUGGUGACUGGCAGGCUAGAGUAUGGCAGAGGGGGGUAGAAUUCCACGUGUAGCAGUGAAAUGCGUAGAGAUGUGGAGGAAUACCGAUGGCGAAGGCAGCCCCCUGGGCCAAUACUGACGCUCAUGCACGAAAGCGUGGGGAGCAAACAGGAUUAGAUACCCCUGGUAGUCCACGCCCUAAACGAUGUCAACUAGUUGUUGGGGAUUCAUUUCCUUAGUAACGUAGCUAACGCGUGAAGUUGACCGCCUGGGGAGUACGGUCGCAAGAUU